Molecule: ribosomal RNA, 492 nt
Filed under: uncultured bacterium
Lineage: Bacteria
Description: partial 16S ribosomal RNA
Rfam family: Bacterial small subunit ribosomal RNA
Source: RNAcentral
AGUGAACGCUGGCGGUAGGCCUAACACAUGCAAGUCGAACGGCAGCACAGUAAGAGCUUGCUCUUACGGGUGGCGAGUUGCGGACGGGUGAGGAAUACAUCGGAAUCUACUUUUUCGUGGGGGAUAACGUAGGGAAACUUACGCUAAUACCGCAUACGACCUACGGGUGAAAGCAGGGGAUCUUCGGACUUUGCGCGAUUGAAUGAGCCGAUGUCGGAUUAGCUAGUUGGCGGGGUAAAGGCCCACCAAGGCGACGAUCCGUAGCUGGUCUGAGAGGAUGAUCAGCGACUAUGGAAGUGAGACACGGUCCUGAGUCCUACAGGAGGCACCAGUGCGGAAUAUUGGCCCAUGGGGGCAAGCCUGAUCCAGCCAUACCGCGUGGGUGAAGAAGGCCUUCGGGUUGUAGAGCCCUUUUGUUGGGAAAGAAAAGCAGCAGGAUAAUACCCGGCUGUUCUGACGGUACCUAAAGAAUAAGCACCGGCUAACUUCGUG